CUACCUCACUUCUCUCAGAAACCUAAUCGGUUCCUCACAGGUUCUCUCUCUUUUUCGGUUUCUAUUUCUCUAUUAUUUUCUCGGCAGCCAAACAGAGUUCUUCGGUUGAUUUCGCUUUGUUUCUUUGAUCUUAAUUACCGACUAGUUGGUCUGAUAUAUAUUGUGCCUAGAUUGCUUGGUUAAAGUAGGCUAAGUUUGUGCUUGCAGAUAACAUUUUUCCUGAAUUAUUGCAAUGAUGUAUGUCUUGAAAAAUGGCCUAUUUUGGGGUUGUUUUAAAUGAUUUGAUAUGGGUCUAGGGAGAUCCAAUUUUAUGGUUUUUCUUUUUCCAUCUUCUUGUUGAAAUUGUUGUAUGAUAAUGGUAGUUUUAAUGUGGGCGUUUUAGUUCUAGGUUCUGUAUGUUGUUUUGAAGAUGGGUACUGACGGAUAUGUAAAAUUAAAAAAUAGGUGUGGCACACAAAGGAGAUAAGAAUUGUGGAUUUGUAUGGUUUCACAAAAUAGCUAAUAGUCAUUGAUAGACUGGAAAGUGAAAUGGGUAGCAGACUCAAAAGCUUCGAAUUAGGAUUUGUUAGGAUUGUUCAUUCACAUUUACUAAUUAAGAUGCUUUAAGGUGUCAUUGAGUGCAAUGCAAUAAGCCUUGACAAUUUAUAUUGAGAUAUUGAAGGAUAGGGAUACACGAUGCAUACAACACAUGCACUCAGAUGGGAUUGAAUCCCACCAACCGGCCCCUUUCUCUUCCCUUUUCCCCCAAAAAGAAAAAUCUGGGGUGGCAGGCAGUGGGGGAGGAGGCAUUUGGUCCAAGGACCAUUGGCAUGCAAUGAUGAGUAAAAUAAAGGGCUAUGGGUAAGAAGUCUCCUUUUCUUCAUGUCCUUGAUAUGUCUUAGAACAUUUCUUAGCUCAAUAGGCUCGCGAGAACUUUAGGAGUAUCAGAAUUGAUGUCAGGUUGUAUCAGAUGAGCUAAGCUCAUGUAUUAUGUGGCUUCAUUAAAUUCGAAUUAUUUUCUGCUGUGUCCGAAAGCAUUUUCUCUAAUUUAAGAUAUUCCAGGCUAGAAUUGGCUUGGAAUCUCUGGAAUUUGUCAGCUAGUUUCUUCUGUUCUAUUUGUUUCUGCGAUGGAAGCCAAGAGAAUAUCAAUGAGGAGGCUCCUGAAAACAGUUUAGCAUACACUUCUUUCUAUGUUGGCAACCUUUCCCAUGAGGUAGUAAGAAAUGCAUGAAAUUUUGGCAUUUUCUUAAUUCUUGCACAGAGCACAUUAAUACAGGACAAACCUGUUGUCUUUGUAUGUUGUUCCCUGACCAAUUUGUAAUUACUCCAAAUAUUGUAGUGACUUUCUUUUUUACUCAAAGAAAACUCCAAAUAUACAUGUGUGCUUGUUCGCGCACACAUGAAAUUUGAGAUAGAAAAAUGGGUACUCUAGGAAAUAGUUUUGAAAUUUAAGUAAUUUCUAUAUUAUUUUUGUAAGAUUAGGUUAAGUAUGUACCAUUGUUAAAAGGGAAUAGAAUGGGGUGGGGCUAAUUUCUCCUUUCCCAUUCCUGUGCCACCAAUGUGAGACCCCUUCCAAUAUUGUUCUGUACUUGUGUCUGAACAAACUUUCUUCCCCAUCUCUGCUUCAUCAAAAAUUUAACAGGUCCAUCCCCAUUUACCCCCAACCCAUUUUCUCUAAAUUUCCUCAGCAUAUAACUGAUUCAUAUCUCUUAGGUCCAAGCACUAGGUCUUUUAGGUGUGUUUGGCAUAAGGAGAAGGUGAAAAGAUUAAAAAUUAGAAAGGUUCUCAGGGAAGUAUGGAUCAAGAGAUCAUAUACUCAUCCAAAAAAGAAUAAAAAGGUCAUAAGGUGUAUACAAUUGAAAUUUUGUUACUGCAGAAUUAAGAAUUGUAGAAUUAUGGGUCAUUUUUAAUAUAUUAUUAGUUUAAAGAACAGUACUACAAUGGUUAUUAUUCUUAAUGAACUCUGAUUUAACUAACUUAUUUAUAUUGCUCACUUAGGUAACUCAAAGCUGUCUAAAGCAGAGAAUGAUAGAUCCCCAAUUUCGAGUGAGACUAGGUCAAACCACUAGUAGGGAUGACUUUGUUAGAUCUAUAUUAUGGAUUAAUAUAGAUCCAUAACAUAGAUCUAACAACGUCAUUUCUGACCUGUGGUUUUCAUGUCUAAGCUAUUUGUUUCAUGCUGGUUGGUCCUACCGCACCUCAAUGGGGCAGUAUAUGUUUAUUGAAACUUCAUUAGACUAUUCUAUAAGAACCCAAAAGCUUGUCAACUCUGGUAUGUCCCAUGAAGGAAGGACAUCUUCAGAAAGCCAGAUGAUGUUCUAGCAGCAGCAAAGAAAUAGAACAGAAGCAUUUGAAAUGAUUAUAGCCACUAGCAAGGUAGCAGGAGGUAGUGAGGAGCAACAGGAAAAUUUGGGACAAAUGUAAGUUGUAUUUGUUCAUAUUGUUACAUUUGCUUUGGCUAAAACACAUGUAAAUUGUGGCCAUAUGUCCAAGAUAUUAUUCCUUUUGUAAAUUAUAUUAUAGUAGUAAAAGUCUGAAAUUGGUCAUUGAUGGCAAUUGUUCUAUCUAGAUAGCGAUGGAGCAAUCUUAAACUCUGUAACCACCUGAUGCAUUGAGCAGUUGAGAUUAUUUAGUAA
Molecule: long non-coding RNA, 2615 nt
Organism: Quercus lobata
Lineage: Eukaryota; Viridiplantae; Streptophyta; Magnoliopsida; Fagales; Fagaceae
Exons: 2
Source: RefSeq, a predicted model, not a curated record